Molecule: long non-coding RNA, 2897 nt
Organism: Scylla paramamosain (green mud crab)
Lineage: Eukaryota; Metazoa; Arthropoda; Malacostraca; Decapoda; Portunidae
Exons: 2
Source: RefSeq, a predicted model, not a curated record
CCCUCGGUGCAUAAUGUUUGUUACGUACCUCGUCCUUGAACUACAUUCUCAAGGCAGAAUCUAACCAGAAAUGAUGUCUCUCCCUUGGUGGUGGUUGCCUUAACUCCCUCCUUGGCUCCCAUUCGGUGUGCGAGGAGCGGAAGUCAGUGCUCAGCAAGGUGUGCUCGAGGAGGUUUCUGGUGUUCCAUGUUUAAUGACGUGCCGCUGUCGGUCUGCCUGACACACUAACCUUUCUCCUAAUACCAACAUAGGAGCAGAAUCUGAAACAGUUUUCCUGAGUGAGUCACCGGUAACGAACUAAAUAAACCUCUGACGAAGACCAACAAUCAGGAACAAAUUGUCGCUGCAAUGGGGCAAGAAUGGCUCGUCCCUACCGCUGGUCAUACUGAGGGGAAGAAAAUCCACCACCACCACCACCACCACCACCUUUUGCCGCAAACUGGCCCGUAUUCUGAAAAGCUUUGCUCUCUGACUAUUUUCAGAGGCCAUAUAUAUGAUUAGCUGGGUUUUCAAGGAUGUUUCUCCUGUUAAUAGUGUAGAUUUUUUGUUAAUCUGCCAGUGGAAUCGCAUAAACACCCUUAGAAAUCCGUGUGACUUCAACUAGAGCCUUUUGGAAGUAGUGAAGAUGUGGGCAGAAAUGUUUCAGAAAAUGGUCCACACAGUGAAAAGGGAGUGGCCGGAGGAGUGGGGUUCUGUCAAAACACUCAAGGUGCAAGACACUUUUACACUUUUCUAGUCGAACCAUGAUAAUCACCAAGGCCAGAGUGAAUUUUCGUCAGCUUAGUUGUUCCACCGCUAUGAUCCUUUAAACAUGACGGAGAUGAUAAUGUCAGUGGUGCUUAGACUAGUGAAUAAAUCAACUUAUCCUUUUUUCUUGUCAGUCGAUAAAAAAAAAAGAAAAAAGAUGCUCUGGAUGAUAGUUCGUGUGUGUGUGUGUGUGUGUGUGUGUGUGUGUGUGUGUGUGUGUGUGUGUGUGUGUGUGUGUGUGUGUGUGUGUGUGUGUGUGUGUGUAUGCUCACGUAAUUUACUCUGUAGAGUUUUUUCUUGCUUUGAGCUUGUUUUGUAAGUAUAGAACAUGUAACAUUUUUAAAAACUUUAAAUUAUAAUUUUCUUCUAUAACAAUAUGAAUGAAAGACGCAUAUAUUUAAGAACAUAAAAGCAAUGAAAGUUUAUCAGGUAUAAAUUAGGAAAAUAAACGUGAAAAUAGCAUGCUUUAUAAUAUCAGAAACUGUCCUGAAUAUGUCAAUACUGGUAAGCUGCGAUGAACAUAAAAGAUAAUCUUGAUGUAUGAUCGGUGCGACUAGGAAAUACCAAAGAAAGAUAAGAAACGUGUCAUUUCCUCAUGUUCGAAAACCUACGUCACUCGAGAGACACUGAAAUACUGGUAGAAGGUUCCAGACCUGAACAGAGGGCGGCGUCUCUGUAUCACAUGGAAGACUGUCAACUCCACUUAGGUGACACCACGUACUGGCUUCACCCAUUCCCUUUAGUUUCUUCAGCUCUCAUGUGUCCUCCGUGCGAUAAUUUUUAAUACGCUGUGGGAAUUCUAACCCGCUCUCAAUGACAACCUGGGUGGCGGUGCUCAAUGCGGCACUGGAACAAGACACAGUUAACAAAGGGCAGGGAGGCCUGCAGCAAGACAUUGGAAGUGCAUUUCCUGCCCCAUUGUUUGCGGAUCCCGUUGGUGGGGAGUGGAAGACAGGACGUGUAGGCUUGGGCGUCACUAUGUUGAUGACUGCGAAAAUUCUCAGCUCCGAUUAUGACGAAUAUAUGUUAAUGUAGAUUUUUCAAAUGAUACACAUAUGCUUCGUUAAAUUUAUGGGCCAGUUGUGGACUAUAGUAUCUACUGGACUAGGACUGAUAUGUAUUGCACACACACACACACACACACACACACAGUGAAGCUCUAGUCUGCAUAGUGUUCUGUGUUCACCGGUCAUCCUCCACCUGUGUCGUUGCCUAAGCCUUCAUCUCUGUGUGUUAAUUUUUCAGCUGUCUGCCUUUCAUCCUCCAAAUAGCCACUUUCUCGGUCGGAUGAUUUUUCCACCUGUCUACCAUCCAGCUACCACUUGUCCACCUGCCCGGCUGAUGGUGAAUAAAAUUAUCCAACAUUAUCAUGAUGAAUAUUGACGGUAACGGUUGGUGAAAUGAUAGUCAUGGUGCAGUGAAGUAACGAGAAGCACUUCCAGUAUGCAAGAAAUAAAAUACACUAAAUACACUAAAAACACACUGGAAUAUCGGCUCUACUUAGGUUACGUCGACGAGAACCUUAAAAAUACAGCAAAUACACUUAAAUUAGACUUAAAUUAGAUUACAUAAACGAGAAUCUUGAAAAUACAGUGAAUAUACUACAAAUACACUUAAUACAGAUUCUACUUAGGUUACUUCCACGAAAAACCUUUAUUUUUCAUCACAACAUCAGUCCAGCAUAAGAUUCCGUUGAGGCACACUGAUGACACUUCGCCGAAAGCUCAGUCACGCAACACCCAGGGAGGAGAGCUCGCUUGACUGCCCCUUCUGCUGUGUUCGGCGAGCAUGAGCAUGAGCCCGGUAGUGUGCGUGAACGAGUGCGAGAACGUGCGUGGCCUCAAGGGGAGCGCGAGAGGCCUGGAGAGGGAGUAUGAGGAGCCUCUUGGGGGAUGUGAGGCACUUAAGAGUCGACGUGAAAGUGGGAGUAAUGUGGCGUUUGGAGUGCUCGCUAGGGAUUAGUGUGGCGAGGGUCCGCGUGCAGCCGGCGGGAAAAUGACGAUAUUUGGCGAGGGUGUUGGGUGCUGCGGGAUUCCUGCUUCAGUUUCCCCGUCCCUGUUCUUCUGUAUUUUGGUCACCUUUUUUUUUUUUUUUUCUUUCUCCAAAUGUAAACUUUUCUUUGAAGUUUUGUGAUUUUUCUUGUCUCUUCU